Molecule: ribosomal RNA, 446 nt
Filed under: uncultured bacterium
Lineage: Bacteria
Description: partial 16S ribosomal RNA
Rfam family: Bacterial small subunit ribosomal RNA
Source: RNAcentral
GAUGAACGCUGGCGGCAUGCCUAACACAUGCAAGUCGGACGGGAACCCCGGGACACGUUGCUUCCAGUGGCGGACGGGGGCGUAACGCGUAAGAACCUGCCCUUGGGAGGGGCACAACGGCUGGUAACGGCGGCUAAUAUCCCCUAGGCCGAGGUGCAACAUGAGGGUUCCGCCCGGGGAUGGGCUCGCGUCUGAUUAGCUAGUUGGGGAGGCAGUAGCUUACUACGUCGAUGAUCAGUAGCUGGUCCGAGAGGCUGAUCGGCCACACUGUGACUGAGACACGGCGCGGAGACCUACGGGAGGCAGGAGUGGGGAAUAUUCCGCAAUGGGGGAUAGCCUGACGGGGCAAUGCGGCGGGGAAGUAGAAGGGCCACGGGUCGUGAACUGCUUUUCCCGGAGAAGAAGUAAUGACGGUAUCUGGAGAAUAAGCACCGGCUAACUCCGUG